CACCACACCAUUGUGACCAUUGUG
Molecule: non-coding RNA, 24 nt
Filed under: Arabidopsis thaliana (thale cress)
Lineage: Eukaryota; Viridiplantae; Streptophyta; Magnoliopsida; Brassicales; Brassicaceae
Source: RNAcentral